This 348-nucleotide unclassified non-coding RNA is filed under the name soil metagenome. RNAcentral's name for it is "partial contains 5.8S ribosomal RNA, internal transcribed spacer 2, and large subunit ribosomal RNA". The stretch from base 1 to 120 matches the Rfam family "5.8S ribosomal RNA", at positions 35 to 154 of the family's 154-position model. The record is from RNAcentral.
GAUGAAGAACGUAGCGAAAUGCGAUAAGUAAUGUGAAUUGCAGAAUUCAGUGAAUCAUCGAAUCUUUGAACGCACAUUGCGCCCGCCAGUAUUCUGGCGGGCAUGCCUGUCUGAGCGUCAUUUCAACCCUCAUGCCCCUAGGGCGUGGUGUUGGGGAUCGGCCAAAGCCCGCGAGGGACGGCCGGCCCCUAAAUCUAGUGGCGGACCCGUCGUGGCCUCCUCUGCGAAGUAGUGAUAUUCCGCAUCGGAGAGCGAUGAGCCCCUGCCGUUAAACCCCCAACUUUCCAAGGUUGACCUCAGAUCAGGUAGGAAUUCCCGCUGAACUUAAGCAUAUCAAUAAGCGGAGGA